UUACGGCCACAUCACGUUGAAACACAGGUUCCCAUACGAUCACCGCAGUUAAGCAACAUUGAGCCUGGUCAGUACGCGGAUGGGAAACAGUUUGGGAAUACCAAGU
Acanthosepion pharaonis is the source of this 106-nucleotide non-coding RNA. The record is from the annotation of a GenBank genome assembly. Lineage: Eukaryota; Metazoa; Mollusca; Cephalopoda; Sepiida; Sepiidae.